GGGCAGUCUACAGCGCCCUGGGCCCAAACCGCCAGCCUCCUUGUGCGGGUGGUUCAGUCCUCCUCUCCGCUUGCAGACCCAGAGGCUUGUGAGGGUCGUAGGAUUGACUCCUGUUGAACGAGAGCACUGGAGCCCAGGAGGGGGGCUGGCGAUAGCGCAGGCCGGAGACCACCCAGACUGACGUGAGCCCCGGUACAAACCAGGCUUGAGGGGACCCCUUGUCACUCUUGGCCUUUUCCAAUGGAACCAUCCAUCAAGAGAUGACAGCAACUCCAGCAGCACAUCCCUGCAAGAUCGGAGAAAGCUCGCUGCCCUCGUGUGAACCACCCAGUGAGGCCCGUCAAGGUCCCAAACAGCUGCUGCCAUUCAAGGAGCUUCGCUGACAUCCACGUGGGCGGCAGGUUAGCACGUGGUCCUCACCCGCCCUUGGAUGAGCCCUGGCUGUUGGCUGUCUGGGACUCGGCUUCACAUGCUUGCCGUGAGAGCGCUGAUGGUUCCGGCUCGCAGCCCCAGGUGCUGUGUGUUCCUGCCUCAAGACAGCAGGUCUGACAGGCACCAGGACUGCCCAGCGACGGAAAAGAUGGAGAAACACAACAAGGCCCUCAAUGUGACCAGCUGGCACUUGCAUCAGUGUUGAAAAUUUCAAACAGUGACACAAGUUAGGACUGUGAGGGACAAUAUUUUUGUUUGGUAAGGUCAGAUUUUGGGUCACAUAUGAACAAUAGUUAUUUCUUUUCAGAUUAUUACUGACAAUAGUUUUGUCUUACAGAGGAGAUGAGCGUUAACAAUGGUCGGCUCUGGUGUAAAUCUGCCGGGUCAGCUCCACUGGACCAUAACGGACAGAAAUCCAGGCCCUUUUUGGGUUUUUCUGUGUACAGUUGUCCUAAACCUGAAAUAUAUGUGAUGCAUUCCACAUAUUGCUACUUUUUCUGCUGCAAUUAUGCCUCUGUGUUAUUAAACACAUACGCCAUAUGUCUUUAUUUGAAAGCUCAGAACCUGGUCAGUGCUCAUAGCAGAGGUAAUGCCCACUGCACUUCUGGAAUUUGGUUCCAGAGCUACAUGAGUACGACUGCACAGUGACUUCCAGCCUGGCCUGUUUCCUCCCGUGUUGGACAUUGUGGGCUUCACACGGACUCCUCCUGUCCUACACACACACACACACACACACGCACACACAGAGCUCAGGCCUCCAGCUGAGCCCUCCCCAGGAACCGCCUCAGCCAGGAGGAGCUCAGAGUCAGCCAUGUCAUCCUGGGGCCACCCCAUCCGAUGGGCUCAGGCGAGCACAGAGGCCCCGCCCCUUUGCCUGCAUAACGGCAGGCCUGAAGGACCCCCAGCGGUGCCCUUCCUUGGGGCUGCCUUCGAGGUUCAAAUUCUCCCUUUGCGGGGUCCCAGUCCUCCUGCCUCGCUCCCCACAGGGACGGAGCCUAAGAGCACUCUCUGAUAUUCCGCCUCUGCACAAACCAGGGGCUGAUUUUUGGAACUCUGUUAUGACACCACUUACCUCCCCCGACCUCCGUAUUGCACUGACCUGGCCCUCUGGCCUGUCACCUCUUCCCCAAAUGCCCGUGUUGGCUCCAGAGUUGGCCCAGGUGGCAAUCAGUGCUGGACCCCAAAUAUUCCCACGGUUCUGUCUUCCAGGGUCACUAGGGCUCCCCUGCCUGGCCCUGUGGCCGGGUGGGGCUGUGUGGAUAGCUGGCUGAUAGGCUGUGGGCAGAGAUGACCUGGGUCAGUUCAAGAAGAUGGUUUAACUGCCACCUGGAGCCCUCCAGAACCGCUCCCCUCCAGCACUGACGUGGGUCCUGGAAUGUGUGCACGAGGCGAGGCCCCUGCCAGUCCUCUGUGGGCAGGGAGAGCGGAUGUUGAACCUCUGGUGGUGUGCACGCUGAGACUGGGGACCGCUGCUCACAGCAGCAUCGUCCUGUGCAUCCCCCUGAUGCAGCUCCCGGGGGCAGGAACCU
This is a long non-coding RNA of Equus caballus (horse), 1961 nucleotides long. The record is from Ensembl. NCBI's taxonomy places the organism in Eukaryota, Metazoa, Chordata, Mammalia, Perissodactyla, Equidae.